This 253-nucleotide ribosomal RNA is filed under the name uncultured bacterium. RNAcentral's name for it is "partial 16S ribosomal RNA". It matches the Rfam family "Bacterial small subunit ribosomal RNA", at positions 524 to 776 of the family's 1533-position model. The record is from RNAcentral.
UACGAAGGGGGCUAGCGUUGCUCGGAAUUACUGGGCGUAAAGCGCACGUAGGCGGAUCGUUAAGUCGGGGGUGAAAUCCUGGAGCUCAACUCCAGAACUGCCUUCGAUACUGGCGAUCUCGAGUUCGGGAGAGGUGAGUGGAACUGCGAGUGUAGAGGUGAAAUUCGUAGAUAUUCGCAAGAACACCAGUGGCGAAGGCGGCUCACUGGCCCAUUACUGACGCUGAGGCACGAAAGCGUGGGGAGCAAACAGG